GUUUGUGAUGAUGCAAUCUACCCGCGGCUAGACGGAAAGACCCCAUGAACCUUUACUGUAGCUUUGCAUUGGACUUUGAAUCAAUCUGUGUAGGAUAGGUGGGAGGCUUUGAAGUAGGGACGCCAGUCUCUAUGGAGCCAUCCUUGAAAUACCACCCUGGUUCAUUUGAGGUUCUAACCUUGGCCCGUUAUCCGGGUCGGGGACAGUGCAUGGUAGGCAGUUUGACUGGGGCGGUCUCCUCCUAAAGUGUAACGGA
This 256-nucleotide ribosomal RNA is filed under the name Duganella guangzhouensis. RNAcentral's name for it is "partial 23S ribosomal RNA". It matches the Rfam family "Bacterial large subunit ribosomal RNA", at positions 2049 to 2304 of the family's 2925-position model. Lineage: Bacteria; Pseudomonadati; Pseudomonadota; Betaproteobacteria; Burkholderiales; Oxalobacteraceae. The record is from RNAcentral.